RNAcentral lists this transfer RNA (74 nucleotides) under Schleiferiaceae bacterium. Its description in RNAcentral is "tRNA-Arg". It matches the Rfam family "tRNA". Rfam says of the family: Transfer RNA (tRNA) molecules are approximately 80 nucleotides in length. Their secondary structure includes four short double-helical elements and three loops (D, anti-codon, and T loops). Lineage: Bacteria; Pseudomonadati; Bacteroidota; Flavobacteriia; Flavobacteriales; Schleiferiaceae. The record is from RNAcentral.
GGCCUUGUAGCUCAACUGGAUAGAGCGUCUGACUACGGAUCAGAAGGUUGAGGGUUCGACUCCUUCCAAGGUCA